UACGUAGGGUGCAAGCGUUAAUCGGAAUUACUGGGCGUAAAGCGUGCGCAGGCGGUUGUGUAAGUCAGAUGUGAAAUCCCCGGGCUCAACCUGGGAAUUGCAUUUGAGACUGCACGGCUAGAGUGUGUCAGAGGGGGGUAGAAUUCCACGUGUAGCAGUGAAAUGCGUAGAUAUGUGGAGGAAUACCGAUGGCGAAGGCAGCCCCCUGGGAUAACACUGACGCUCAGGUGCGAAAGCGUGGGGAGCAAACAGG
Molecule: ribosomal RNA, 253 nt
Filed under: uncultured bacterium
Lineage: Bacteria
Description: partial 16S ribosomal RNA
Rfam family: Bacterial small subunit ribosomal RNA
Source: RNAcentral